RNAcentral lists this unclassified non-coding RNA (415 nucleotides) under Hevea brasiliensis (rubber tree). The record is from RNAcentral. Lineage: Eukaryota; Viridiplantae; Streptophyta; Magnoliopsida; Malpighiales; Euphorbiaceae.
AAAAAAAAAAAAACCUUUUUCUCCUCUUAAUUGCCUUUUCUCGGGAAACAAACGGGCAAAAGGAAAAGGUGUAGUCACUUUCUUAGCAAAUAAAGAUAAACACCCAAGAAAAUAAAUAAAUCAAAUAAAAACAAAAUCCAGAAACUUAAAGCAGUGAGCCAAGUUUGAUUAGCCAACCCUUUGAUUCAGAGUCCGCAAUUUGCCCAACUACUAAAACCAAACACUUAUUCCCAUCUUCACCCAAUAAUUUAUAUAUAAAAACCAACUCCUUAUAAUAAAAGUCAAACCAAUCCAAGCCAAACCCAAAACCAAUGACCCAUUCAAAAUCCAAAUCGAAAACCAAAUGCACACGCAAUUACAUUAUUAGUCAAGCGCAAACUAAACUACCCCUUCCCCCGCCCUCACAAAUUUGGAA